CCCCGCUGGGGAGCAGCAGCGGCUCAGCCCGAGCUCCCGGAUGCACCAGCGGCUGCCUCUGACCCAGGAAGUUCAGCCUCCAAAAUGGUCAAAGUGAAAAUGAAAAGACAAAAAACAAUACAACAAUUUUUCCCCUCAAAGGCCUCAAAAACUAACCCUAGGGGAAGAACACAUCAAGAACCAAGAAUAUAUCAACAUGUCAUCUGAAGGUUCAAGUGGUAUAUCUACAUCUGACCAACCCAAAGCACAAAUACAGCUACCUACUGAAGAAACAGUGUCUCCAAAACCUAAAGGCAGUUCCCGAUGUUUGUCAGUCAAAGUGUUCCCAUUUAUUGAAGUUACUAAAGAUGGCUACUGGUGCACCUCUUGCAAAGAAGCUUACGAAGAAGGAAAGCUUCCCAAUGCUAUAAUUGGUAAAAGUGGAGGAGCUUUGUUUGUCAAACCAAUCAGCAAAGCCAAUGCUGACAAACUACGUGAAAAGGCUGCAAAACACCAGGCCUCUGGAGUGCAUCAACAUGCAGAAAGCCUUAUAAGCCCACUAUCAAAGCCAAUUUUAGAAGUACUUAAUGAGGCUGUUAAGAAUGCUGGAGACACAACACAGUUAAUGCGAACAAACAUGGCUGUGGCAUCCUACUUUCUAUUUAAGCAAGAGAUACCAAACACUACAAACUGGAGGCCAAUGUUAAGUGCAUUGUUAUUUGUUCAUCCUGAAGUUGAACACUGGUUCCGAACAAGACCAGCAAAUGCUCACUAUCUUUCUGCAAGAAACUCAACUGACUGGCUAGAAGCAUGUGGUGCAACCGUGAAAGACUCAACAGUUGAAAAAGUGAAGAACUCUCUCACCACAUUCAAAAAAUUUGCAUACAUAGCUGAUGAAUGCACUGAUGCAAAUGGGCAUCAAGUAUUAAGUCACGUUAUCUUGAUGUCAGGGGUAGGCCAGUAGAUGCAUUUCUAGAUGUUCAAGUUAUAGAAGACACAUCGUCUGCAUCUGUGACAAUCCACAUCUUAGAAGAGUAAAAUGCUUGUCAAUUGGACCCCAAACAGAUGGCUGCUUGUGCAUUUGAUGGAGCUGCAAACUUCUCUGGAAGACAUGGUGGAGUACAAGCUUUGCUCAGAGAAAAGUGUAACCCUAAUCUCUCCCAUACACACUGCAGAGGCUAUCUACUCCAACUAGCACUAGUACGAGCUGCAGAAUCUUCAAAAGACUUUAUAGCUUUUUUAAAUUUAAUGUCUUCAUUAUAUUCUUUUUUCAGCAAGAGUCCAAAAAGACUGAAUAUACACUGGGACUGAAGUUCAAAUUAGUCCAACCUGGGAAAACCCGCUGGCUUUCUCAUGAGUGAUCCUUGGCUGUUGUCUUAAAAUUACUCCAGCCUUUAUUACUGGCUUUGGAAAGUAUCCACCAAGACGGGAUGGAUCUAAGUAGUGAGGGUGGUGGAUUACUUUUGCUACUAUGUUCAGAGAACACUAUUGCCAUUCUCGCUCUCGUAAGUCUACUAUUGAAACCACUUGGGUCAUUAAACAAUGCCAUGCAGGCAUCUGCUACAAAAGUAGUAGAUCUUUGUCCAGUGAUAGAAGCCACAUUUGGAUCAAUCCGAGAGCUAUCCAUUGAAAAAGUACUGGAAGAAGCAAAGACUUCAGUCCAGAAAUUGUCUAAUGAAGGCAUUUAUAUUGAAUCCUUAAGUGAAGAAGACAAGAAGUGUUUGUUAAGACAACUGAAAAAGUACACAGACUUGAGUCUUAAAAAUCUACGACAGUGACUUCUAGAUUCUACUCAACCUCUACAUAGCUUUUACAGAUGCCUGUCCUAUAAAACACCAACAGUUGAGUGGAGUGUGGCACUACCAGCAAUGGGGCUGCCAUGUGCUCAGGACAGAAUAGAGAAUUUGAACACCGAGUGGAAUAUCCUAUGACGAAUGAAUGAAGAUUUGACUUCAACUUCUUUUUUUAUCAUUGUGUUCUGUUUCCUGAGAUGAAAAAAGUAGGAAUUCAUCUCUUGCUACUCCCAGUCACAGCAGCUACAGUUGAGCGUUCUUUUUCAUCAUUGAAUAGAAUUUUGUGUUCUGAAAGAAGUCGCCUUCUGCCUGAUCAUGUGAAUGAACUAAUGAGCAUAUCAAUUGAAGGAAUGGAAGUACUAGACACACGAGAAGCCACCAAAGAUGAAUGCAUUGCAUUCAAGAAGUUCAUUAACAGAGUUGUGCAAAAUUAUAACAAGAAACCAAGAAGGAUGUAGACGUAGUACUUCAUAGAAGGCUUGAGUAGCCAACUUUAUUUUGUGUGAUGAUUUUCAAACAUGAGUUAAAUCUAAUAAAAUGGUCAUGAAACAUUUUUCAGUUUUUACUAUGGUGCCAUACAACCCACCUUCACCCUCCCAGUCUCACCCCUGACACACACAUCCCUGUAAAUUCGAACACCUUCCCUAAUUUUAAUUCCUGGGGAAACCACUGUCUCUGUGUCUCUCUCUCUCUGCCAUGCUGUCUUCCUUCCUCCCCACUCCAUUCCUGCCGCCUUAGAGAGUGCGAGGCUGCAUUAACAACAAUGUGUUAACCCUUGAGGGCUCAGCCGAGUGCUAGUUCAUCAUUUAGCAGUAAGGCAUUCCCGGGAAAUAGCCCACCCUCUGACUUCCACCUCAACCAAGCCUCACAAUCAUCAUUGCUGUGUACAGUAUUAAAUUGUUUGUUUGAAACUUA
Molecule: long non-coding RNA, 2687 nt
Organism: Malaclemys terrapin pileata
Lineage: Eukaryota; Metazoa; Chordata; Testudines; Emydidae
Exons: 2
Source: RefSeq, a predicted model, not a curated record